AACAAAUAUUAAAGGCAACGCCUGCCCAGUGAACAAUUAAACGGCCGCGGUACCCUAACCGUGCAAAGGUAGCAUAAUCAUUUGUCUAUUAACUGUAGACCUGUAUGAAAGGCAAAAUGAGGGUUCAACUGUCUCUUAUAAUAAAUCUAUUAAACUGAUCUACUAGUAAAAAAGCUAGAAUACCACCAUAAGACCAGAAGACCCUGUGAAGCUUAAACUAAAAUAUUAAACCCAAUAAUAACUACUUUCGGUUGGGGCGACCUUGGAAACAAAAAGAACUUCCAACACAUAUGAUACCACAUACAAACAAUAGGCCCACAAGCCAACAAAUGACCCAGCAAAGCUGAUAAUUGAACAAAGUUACUCCAGGGAUAACAGCGCCAUCUUCUUCAAGAGCCCAUAUCAAAAAGAAGGUUUACGACCUCGAUGUUGGAUCAGGACAUCCUAAUGGUGCAGCCGCUAUUAAGGGUUCGUUUGUUCAACGAUUAAUGUCCUACGUGAU
This 502-nucleotide ribosomal RNA is filed under the name Trimerodytes percarinatus (Olive annulate keelback). RNAcentral's name for it is "partial large subunit ribosomal RNA". It matches the Rfam family "Bacterial large subunit ribosomal RNA", at positions 1838 to 2604 of the family's 2925-position model. Lineage: Eukaryota; Metazoa; Chordata; Lepidosauria; Squamata; Natricidae. The record is from RNAcentral.